UACGUAGGGGGCAAGCGUUGUCCGGAUUUAUUGGGCGUAAAGAGCGUGUAGGCGGUCAGGUAGGUCCGUUGUGAAAACUCGAGGCUCAACCUCGAGACGCCGAUGGAAACCAUCUGACUAGAGUCCGGAAGAGGAGAGUGGAAUUCCUGGUGUAGCGGUGAAAUGCGUAGAUAUGCGGAGGAACACCGAUGGCGAAGGCAAUCCCCUGGGCCUGCACUGACGCUCAUGCACGAAAGCGUGGGGAGCAAACAGG
Molecule: ribosomal RNA, 253 nt
Filed under: uncultured bacterium
Lineage: Bacteria
Description: partial 16S ribosomal RNA
Rfam family: Bacterial small subunit ribosomal RNA
Source: RNAcentral